UAAUACGAAGGGGGCUAGCGUUGCUCGGAAUCACUGGGCGUAAAGCGCACGUAGGCGGAUUUCUAAGUCAGGGGUGAAAUCCUGGAGCUCAACUCCAGAACUGCCUUUGAUACUGGGAAUCUCGAGUCCGGGAGAGGUGAGUGGAACUGCGAGUGUAGAGGUGAAAUUCGUAGAUAUUCGCAAGAACACCAGUGGCGAAGGCGGCUCACUGGCCCGGUACUGACGCUGAGGUGCGAAAGCGUGGGGAGCAAACAG
This 255-nucleotide ribosomal RNA is filed under the name uncultured bacterium. RNAcentral describes it as "partial 16S ribosomal RNA". It matches the Rfam family "Bacterial small subunit ribosomal RNA", at positions 521 to 775 of the family's 1533-position model. The record is from RNAcentral.